GAUGAAGAACGCAGCGAAAUGCGAUAAGUAAUGUGAAUUGCAGAAUUCAGUGAAUCAUCGAAUCUUUGAACGCACAUUGCGCCCCUUGGUAUUCCGAGGGGCAUGCCCGUUCGAGCGCCAUUAUACCCCUCAAGCCUAGCUUGGUGUUGGGGCCUGCUGUUACCGGCAGCCCUUAAAAUCAGUGGCGGUGCCAUCUGGCUCUAAGCGUAGUAAUACUUCUCGCUACAGGGUCCCGGUGGAUGCUUGCCAUCAACCCCUAAUUUUCUAUGGUUGACCUCGGAUCGGGUAGGGAUACCCGCUGAACUUAAGCAUAUCAAUAAGCGGAGGA
Molecule: unclassified non-coding RNA, 328 nt
Filed under: soil metagenome
Description: partial contains 5.8S ribosomal RNA, internal transcribed spacer 2, and large subunit ribosomal RNA
Rfam family: 5.8S ribosomal RNA (bases 1-120)
Source: RNAcentral